GUAUUUUACGUCCGCUUCCACCGAGGUGAUAUCGCAGACAAUGACGUGUUAUGUGUACAAGGUGCAUUAAUUUACAAUGUGAUUAGUGAGAAAUAAUAGGAUGAUUAGGUUUUCAUAUAUAUGUACAUAGGACAAUAAACAACAGUAGGAUAACAUGUGCAAAGGACGAAACAGGUGCCAGUAGACAUUUACAAGCAUGCGAUUUGACGCAACAGACAUGGACAAAGACGGACAUUUUCACAGACAUAGACAUAUUAUGUACAUAUAUAUAUAUUUUGGGUCGUUUGGGUUGGUCUGGUCGUUCUGUCCGGUAGAAUGGCAGGGCGGUGCAACUCUACCUUGGGGCUUUGUUGCAUCAACUCUAAAACAUGAACACCAUCUUAUCUCUCGCUCUCUGUCUGGCUCUAGCCACUGUUGCUCUAGGAGUAAACCCAAUGAUGGGUGGAUUAGGUAUGAUGGGAGGAUACAGUCCAUACAUGAUGGGAGGUAUGGGUAUGAUGGGUGGACUUGGUAUGAUGGGUGGUAUGGGUAUGAUGGGAGGAUACAAUCCAUACAUGAUGGGUGGUAUGGGUAUGUAUGGAGCUGGACUUGGUAUGAUGAGUGGAAUGUACAACCCUAUGAUGAUGGGAGGUCUUGGUUUUGGAAAAUAAGAGCCUAAUUAACAGAUAGAAAUGACAGAUUUAUUUACCAAGAAUUGUCCACCAGGUUAAGAUAGUACCAAAAUAGAUUUAGUAUACUUGUAUACUGAUGUAUAGUGAUAGUACCAGAACAGAUUUAGUGUAAUUGUAUACCGAUGUAUAGUGAUAGUACCAGAACAGAUUUAGUAUACUUGUAUACUGAUGUAUAGUGAUAGUACCAGAACAGAUUUAGUAUAACUGUAUCCUGAUGUAUAGUACACUUUGUAUUUGUAAUUGUAUAAGUACCAGAACAGAUUUAGUAUAGUAUAUGUAUUUGUAAUUGUAUAAGUACCAGAACAGAUUUAGUAUAACUGUAUACUGAUGUAUAGUAUAAUUUGUAAUUGUAUAAGUAGUAUAAUUGUAUACUGAUGUAUAGUUAAAAUUGUAAUUGUAGAAGUACCAGAAUAGACGUAGUGUAAUUGUUCCCUAAUGUAUAGUAUAACAUGUAUUUGUAAUUGUAUAAUUACCCUUGAAAUUGUCAUUUGUAUAUUUUUUUAAGGUUGAAUUACAAUCUGACUACAGCAUCGAUCAUAUUCCGUU
Long non-coding RNA from Patella vulgata (common limpet), 1217 nucleotides. RefSeq lists it as uncharacterized. The transcript is spliced from 3 exons. NCBI's taxonomy places the organism in Eukaryota, Metazoa, Mollusca, Gastropoda, Patellidae. The record is from RefSeq and is a predicted model, not a curated record.